Long non-coding RNA from Solanum tuberosum (potato), 590 nucleotides. RefSeq lists it as uncharacterized. NCBI's taxonomy places the organism in Eukaryota, Viridiplantae, Streptophyta, Magnoliopsida, Solanales, Solanaceae. The record is from RefSeq and is a predicted model, not a curated record. The transcript has 5 exons.
GGCAAACAUUAAGCUCAUUUCCCCUCUCUUCAACAAGCAGAGCACAAAAGUUGUCACUCUUCUUCACUUUGACCUGAUUUUUCAUCAAUUCUGUGGAGCUUAGCAGAAGCUAAACACAUAGCAUAUCGAUGGAACACAGAAGUUGUGGAGCUUUGCAAGGAUAUUAAUCUGAUUGAAAUGGAGGCUUUCUUCUUCAACUGCUGGAGGUUCUCUUCUUCAAUCUUUGAGAAGACCAUACGUUGUCACCAUCUUCUCUUGGACCUAUUUUUCAACAAAAAGAACACAAUUUCAGGGCAAGCUUAUGGGGUUUUGUAGGGAUUUGAAUCUUAUGCUGAAGGUUCUGUUCUGACAUCUUUGAGGUUAUAGCUGAAGAAACUUCAAGUUUGAGCUGUUAAGGUGGAGAAGAUAACCAAGGGGAUGAUGAAAGCAGUGAUGAAGACCUUAUUACUUGAUCUAAUUGAUUGAAAGAUGUAGAAAUCUAUUGCUUUAGCUCGACUCUUUUGCUUCUUGACAUUUUGAAACUUUUGUUAAGCUACAAUAUUUUGUUUUAGUUUCUAUUAGUAUGGAACUUGUGCAAACUAUUGAAAACA